UUACGGAUACUAUGUAUGCUCACAGUAGAAUAUGGCGACGAUUGAUGACGUCAUAUUAUAUUUCACUAGGGUACUGCGGCAGUAUACUGCCAGUCCAUAACGGAACGAUUUUUUCUACAGUGAUAGCA
Molecule: long non-coding RNA, 128 nt
Organism: Aricia agestis (brown argus)
Lineage: Eukaryota; Metazoa; Arthropoda; Insecta; Lepidoptera; Lycaenidae
Exons: 3
Source: RefSeq, a predicted model, not a curated record